RNAcentral lists this ribosomal RNA (1014 nucleotides) under Triticum aestivum (bread wheat). Its description in RNAcentral is "partial small subunit ribosomal RNA". The record is from RNAcentral. Lineage: Eukaryota; Viridiplantae; Streptophyta; Magnoliopsida; Poales; Poaceae.
AUGGCGAGGAUGAAGCCACAACAGGAGAGAGAGAUGGUGAAGAAGGACAAAAAUAAGUUGGAGUACAUGAUUGCAUAUUUGUUGAGAGAAAAAGAAGUUGCAAAGGAGAAGGAGGAGAGAGUAUUCCCGGGGCUGGCGGAGCUGCUGCCCAAGGUGGCCACGGACGACCGCACGGUGAUCAUCACGUCGGUGAACGAGGCGUGGGCGGCGCCGGGGUCGCUGCUGGACCUCUUCCGCGGAAGCUUCCGCGACGGCGAGGGGAUCGCGCACCUCCUAAACCACACGCUCAUCGUCGCCGUCGACGCCGCGGCGUACCACCACUGCCGGCGCGUGCACCCGCACUGCUACCUCCUCGAGGUCGAGGCGACGGCCAUGAACCUCAGCUCCGCCAGCGACUUCAUGAGCGGCGCCUACCUGGAGCUCGUCUGGGCCAAGCUGGAGCUGCAGCAGCGCGUCCUCCAGCUCGGCCACAGCUUCCUCUUCACGGACGUGGACGUGGUGUGGCUCCGGGACCCGUUCCGGCACAUCGGCGUGCACGCGGACAUGGCCGUGUCCUGCGACAUCUACUCCGGCGACGCCGACGCGCUCGACGGCAACUGGCCCAACACGGGCUUCUACUACGUGAAGGCGACGGCGCGGACGGUGGAGAUGAUGUGGCGGUGGCGGGCGGCGCGGUGGCGGUUCCCGAGGGCUCACGAGCAGACCAUCUUCAACCAGAUCAAGCACGAGCUGGCCUCCGCGGACGGCGGCCUGCGGCUGCGGUUCCAGUUCCUCGACACGGCUCGCUUCGGCGGAUUCUGCCGGCUGUUCCACAACGACAUGGCCAGGGCGUGCACCAUGCACGCCAACUGCUGCUUCGGCCUGGAGAAAAAGUUGAGCGAUCUCCGAGACGUGCUCGGGCAGUGGAAGAACUACACGGCCAUGACGCCACCGGAGAGGAGGAAUGUCGGGUGGCGCGUCCCGGCCAAGUGCGGGACGCCUGACAAGAGGGCGCGGACGGGGCCGGGCUCCUGA